GGUAAAUUCUGCCCUAUGGUUUUUCUAAAUGGCUGCAGUAUUUUGACUGUGCAAAGGUAGCAUAGUAAUUAGUUUCUUAAUUAGAAGCUGGAAUGAAUGGAUUAAUGAGAAAGAUAUUUUAUUAAUUUCAUUGUUAUAAAUUAAAAUUUAAGUGAAAAUGCUUAAUUAUUUUCUAGGGACGAUAAGACCCUAUAGAACUUUAUAUUAUAAUAUUUAAUCUAUUUUUAUUAAGAAUAUUGAAUUAAAUAAUAGUAAUAAUUUGCUGGGGUGGUAGAUAAAUUUUAACUUUAUUUUUAAAUUUCAAUAAUUUAUGUAAAUUUUGAUCCUUAUGGAAAUUAAGAUUAAGUUACCUUAGGGAUAACAGCGUAAUUUAAGUGGAGAGUUCAUAUCUAUACUUUAUUUUGCGACCUCGAUGUUGAAUUAAGGAAAGGUUGGGAAGAAGAGUUCUCAAAUCUAAGUCUGUUCGACUU
This 470-nucleotide ribosomal RNA is filed under the name Nephotettix nigropictus. RNAcentral's name for it is "partial large subunit ribosomal RNA". It matches the Rfam family "Bacterial large subunit ribosomal RNA", at positions 1851 to 2587 of the family's 2925-position model. The record is from RNAcentral. Lineage: Eukaryota; Metazoa; Arthropoda; Insecta; Hemiptera; Cicadellidae.